Molecule: ribosomal RNA, 484 nt
Filed under: uncultured bacterium
Lineage: Bacteria
Description: bacterial SSU rRNA
Rfam family: Bacterial small subunit ribosomal RNA
Source: RNAcentral
GACGAACGCUGGCGGCGUGCUUAACACAUGCAAGUCGUGCGGAAAGGCCCCUUUGGGGUGCUCGAGCGGCGAACGGGUGAGUAACACGUGAGUAAUCUGCCCUGCACUUUGGGAUAACUGCCGGAAACGGUGGCUAAUACUGGAUAGGACUGCAUCCUGCAUGGGGUGUGGUGGAAAGCCUUUGGGUGGUGUGGGAUGUGCUCGCGGCCUAUCAGCUUGAUGGUGGGGUAGUGGCCUACCAUGGCUUUGACGGGUAGCCGGCCUGAGAGGGUGACCGGUCACACUGGGACUGAGACACGGCCCAGACUCCUGCGGGGGGCAGCAGUGGGGAAUAUUGGACAAUGGGCGGAAGCCUGAUCCAGCAACGCCGCGUGAGGGAUGACGGCCUCGGUUGUAAACCUACUUUCGUCUCAUGACGAAGUUCUGCUUUUUGGGUUGGGUGGACGGUAGUGGAGAAGAAGCACCGGCCAACUACGUGCCAGCA